Molecule: ribosomal RNA, 465 nt
Filed under: uncultured bacterium
Lineage: Bacteria
Description: partial 16S ribosomal RNA
Rfam family: Bacterial small subunit ribosomal RNA
Source: RNAcentral
GACGAACGCUGGCGGCGUGCUUAACACAUGCCAGUCGAACGGAAAGGCCCUGCUUGCAGGGUGCUCGAGUGGCGAACAGGUGAGUAACACGUGUGUGAUCUGCCCUGCACUUCGGGGUAAGCCUGGGAAACUGGGUCUAAUACCGGGUAGGAGCCCUCCUUCUUGUGGUGGUUGGAAAGUUUUUUCGGUGUAGGAUGAGUUCGCGGCCUAUCAGGUUGUUGGUGGGGUAAUGGGCUACCAAGGCGGCGUCGGGUAGCCGGCCUGGGAGGGUGGACGGCCACAUUUGGACUGGGAUACGGCCCAGACUCCUACGGGGGGCAGCAGUGGGGAAUAUUGCACAAUGGGGGGGAGCCUGAUGCAGCGACGCCGCGUGGGGGAUGACGGCCUUCGGGUUGGAAACUCCCUUCGCUAGGGACGAAGCUUUGUGUGACGGUAACGAGAUAAGAAGCACCGGCUAACUACGUG